This is a non-coding RNA of Pelobates cultripes (western spadefoot toad), 305 nucleotides long. Lineage: Eukaryota; Metazoa; Chordata; Amphibia; Anura; Pelobatidae. The record is from the annotation of a GenBank genome assembly.
AUCAUGGGGUGAUGGUUGUGUAUUGGUUUUAGGGAUAUAGUACCCUUUUUUUGCCAAGGGAUAGUAUAGAUAGGGUGUGUGAAGGCAGCGCUUUCUAAUAUCACCCAUUGUGUGCUGUUUGUGGGUAUUGUCCAAUCAUAGAUUCUAGAAAGCAUGGCCGCUUGAUGGUAAAGUUCUAUGUCUGGGAGACUUAGGCCUCCUUGGUGUUUGUGUGCUGUUAGUAGUUUAAAUAGUAGUUGUGGGUGAUUGUGAGACCAGACAAAACGGGUGAAUUGUUUUUUAUUUUCUUUUUGGUAUUGCUAUAG